AACGAACGCUGGUGGCACGUUUUAAGCAUGCAAGUCGAACGGCAGUGGGGGCAACCCCAUGAGAGUGGCGAACGGGUGAGUAACACGUAGGUGAUCUGCCUUUGGGUUGGGGAUAGCUUGUGGAAACACAGGGCAAUACCGAAUGAGCUGACGAGGCUUUGGCCAUGUUAGUAAAGGUGCUACGGCACCGCCUAGAGAGGAGCCUGCGGCUGAUUAGCUAGUUGGUGGGGUAAAGGCCUACCAAGGCGACGAUCAGUAGCCGGCCUGAGAGGGUGUACGGCCACACUGGAACUGAGACACGGUCCAGACUCCUACGGGAGGCAGCAGCUAAGAAUCUUCCGCAAUGGGCGAAAGCCUGACGGAGCGAUGCCGCGUGAUCGAUGAAGGUCGAGAGAUUGUAAAGAUCUUUUCCAACUGAGGAAUAAGUGGACCAGGGAAUGGGUUCAUGAUGACGUUAAGUUGGGAAUAAGCCCCGGCUAAUUACGUGCCAGCAGCCGCGGUAA
Molecule: ribosomal RNA, 503 nt
Filed under: uncultured bacterium
Lineage: Bacteria
Description: partial 16S ribosomal RNA
Rfam family: Bacterial small subunit ribosomal RNA
Source: RNAcentral